AAUAGAAACGUGUUACAUUCUUAACAACUGGCUGAUCAUCUGUUUCUUUAUGUUUUACUCCGGCUAGAAAGAAGCAUUGGGCUAAAAAUUAAAGAAGAAAGAAACUGCAAAGGUUUCUGCUCUUAUUUUUAUUCAUUGCGGAAACAUGUGCGGGUCAUGAAUGACUGCAAAACGUUUUGUGAAUGCACGAGGGAAGAUGUUCACCGAGAGUCAUUAAGGAUACGUUCCACCGAAACUUUUAUGAAUUCCCGAGAAAAUAGAGAUCCGAAUUAUCGCGGUCCAUACAAUGAGGGUCCAGUAUGGGGAUGAUGAGGAUGCGCAGGAUAGUGAACCGAAUUCAUGUGUGCAGUUGGUUGUCCAUGGUGUCCAGGAUAAGUCCAAGGUCCUGCUGCGGUCGCACCGUAAAAUUGAUGAUGUUCUUGGCUCGAUAUGCUUGGAAUUUGCACGGUCUCUUUGCAGGAUUCUGUAUGCUUGAAACUGCGACAGAGUCACACUCAUCCGAUUCACAGUCACGAAAACCUUUCGCAAAUGGAUUGCUAGCAAUUUUGAGUUGCGUGAUACGAUGAUUUUGAUAAGCUGUGACCGCAGUGAAUCGCGUUUCCGGAAAGGUGAAAGUUUUGAAAUUCUCCGUGCGAGGAUCGGGAGCGGAACCCGGCGGCGAUGGUGCAACCACUACGUGGCAUCGUGGCUGAUAUCUAUGCAUCGAGUUCAGGAUUAUCUGUAACGUAAAAUAAUAAAAUAAUUGUUAUUUAUAUUAGAUAUAUAAAGAUUUAG
RNAcentral lists this unclassified non-coding RNA (774 nucleotides) under Bombus terrestris (buff-tailed bumblebee). RNAcentral's name for it is "misc RNA ENSBTSG00005023082.1". The record is from RNAcentral. Lineage: Eukaryota; Metazoa; Arthropoda; Insecta; Hymenoptera; Apidae.